Molecule: ribosomal RNA, 425 nt
Filed under: uncultured bacterium
Lineage: Bacteria
Description: partial 16S ribosomal RNA
Rfam family: Bacterial small subunit ribosomal RNA
Source: RNAcentral
AAUCUUCCGCAAUGGACGAAAGUCUGACGGAGCAACGCCGCGUGAACGAUGAAGGCCUUCGGGUCGUAAAGUUCUGUUGUUAGGGAAGAACAAGUGCUAUUCGAACAGGGUGGCACCUUGACGGUACCUAACCAGAAAGCCACGGCUAACUACGUGCCAGCAGCCGCGGUAAUACGUAGGUGGCAAGCGUUGUCCGGAAUUAUUGGGCGUAAAGCGCGCGCAGGCGGUCUCUUAAGUCUGAUGUGAAAGCCCCCGGCUCAACCGGGGAGGGUCAUUGGAAACUGGGAGACUUGAGUGCAGAAGAGGAGAAUGGAAUUCCAUGUGUAGCGGUGAAAUGCGUAGAGAUAUGGAGGAAUACCAGUGGCGAAGGCGACUCUCUGGUCUGUAACUGACGCUGAGGCGCGAAAGCGUGGGGAGCAAACAGG